UUUCAAACCCUUGAUAUCAACACGUCUUUCUUCUUCUUCAUUGUUCUACCAUCCAUCGCAUAAUGUUCUCCCCACCACGUUCUUUUAUGACUACAAGCUACUCAAUCUGUUUUGCAUCAACGGAACAAUUAGAUCUUAUAACAACAGUCCACGAUCCAGGGGAUACGAUUAUCAGGUAUUAAAUCUUCUUUUGCGUUUCAACCAUCCUA
RNAcentral lists this long non-coding RNA (209 nucleotides) under Helianthus annuus (common sunflower). Its description in RNAcentral is "sRNA HanXRQr2_Chr10g0437491". Lineage: Eukaryota; Viridiplantae; Streptophyta; Magnoliopsida; Asterales; Asteraceae. The record is from RNAcentral.